Molecule: ribosomal RNA, 519 nt
Filed under: uncultured eukaryote
Lineage: Eukaryota
Description: SSU rRNA
Rfam family: Eukaryotic small subunit ribosomal RNA
Source: RNAcentral
AGGGCACCACCAGGAGUGGAGCCUGCGGCUUAAUUUGACUCAACACGGGAAAACUCACCCGGCCCGGACACUGGAAGGAUUGACAGAUUGAGAGCUCUUUCUUGAUUCAGUGGGUGGUGGUGCAUGGCCGUUCUUAGUUGGUGGGGUGAUUUGUCUGGUUAAUUCCGAUAACGAACGAGACUCUAGCCUACUAAAUAGAUCGUCGGCUUACAAACGCCGGCGAGACUUCUUAGAGGGACAGGCGGUGAUUCAACCGCACGAAACAGAGCAAUAACAGGUCUGUGAUGCCCUUAGAUGUCCGGGGCCGCACGCGCGCUACACUGAAGUGAUCAGCGUGCUUUUUCAACCUACUCUAUCACGAGUGGGGAACCCAAUGAACCUUCUUCGUGAUUGGGAUAGGGGAUUGUAAUUAUUCCCCUUGAACGAGGAAUUCCCAGUAAGCGCGAGUCAUAAGCUCGCGUUGAUCACGUCCCUGCCCUUUGUACACACCGCCCGUCGCUACUACCGAUUGAAUGUUUU